AAAUAAACACCAUUGCUAUUCCAUCAGAUAACAUCUCUGUUCAAAUCAAAACAGGUACUUCCUACAUGAGAGAAUACAUCCAGAACAUAUAACUACACCAUCCGUCGGAACCAAAUCCCGUAACUGCGCUGAGCAGGUUGCACAUGAACAAGAGACAGGAGUCUACACAGGCGGGGCCUAGCUAUAACCUAGGAGGAGGUGAACUUGGUGACGGCCUUGGUGCCCUCGGAGACGGCGUGCUUGGCGAGCUCCCCGGGGAGGACGAGGCGGACCGAGGUCUGGAUCUCGCGGGAGGUGAUGGUGGGCUUCUUGUUGUACCGCGCGAGCUUGGCCGCCUCCGCCGCCAGCUUCUCGAAGAUGUCGUUGAUGAAGGAGUUCAUGAUGGACAUGGCCUUGGAGGAGAUGCCGAUGUCGGGGUGCACCUGCUUCAGCACCUUGAAGAUGUAGAUCUUGUAGGUCUCCACGCUCUUCUUCGCCUUCUUCUUGCCCUUCUUCUCGCCGUCC
RNAcentral lists this long non-coding RNA (504 nucleotides) under Setaria viridis. RNAcentral's name for it is "long non-coding RNA (SVIR_LNC007384)". The record is from RNAcentral. Lineage: Eukaryota; Viridiplantae; Streptophyta; Magnoliopsida; Poales; Poaceae.